This 299-nucleotide long non-coding RNA is filed under the name Setaria viridis. Its description in RNAcentral is "long non-coding RNA (SVIR_LNC005466)". Lineage: Eukaryota; Viridiplantae; Streptophyta; Magnoliopsida; Poales; Poaceae. The record is from RNAcentral.
GGGGUUCUAAGAUCUUAGUGUAGGAAAGCAAUAUUUGGUGUACACACAAUAGGGCUUUUCUAUAAUGUGGGGAUUAGGAAUAUCAAAAAGGGCCCAUGGAGGAUGCACAAUGGGUAAAGAAGGUAUGAUUAGGCUUAGAAUAUUUCCUAGUAUUUUUGUAGAAUUUUUGGGAAUUUUUGGAGGGGUGUAAGGGCUCUAAGUGAGUUUUGGUGUACAUUAUCUGGGUGCACGUAGCAUUUUUUUGGCCGACUGACUCAGGCAGGUGGGGCGGGGCUGGUACUGUGCAUGGUGGACUGGCC